This 644-nucleotide ribosomal RNA is filed under the name uncultured bacterium. Its description in RNAcentral is "bacterial SSU rRNA". It matches the Rfam family "Bacterial small subunit ribosomal RNA", at positions 202 to 841 of the family's 1533-position model. The record is from RNAcentral.
CAAAGGGAGCAAUCCCGGCCACGGAUGGGCAUGCGGCGCAUUAGCUAGUCGGCGGGGUAACGGCCCACCGAGGCGACGAUGCGUAGGGGUUCUGAGAGGAAGGCCCCCCACACUGGUACUGAGACACGGACCAGACUCCUACGGGAGGCAGCAGUGAGGAAUAUUGGUCAAUGGGCGCGAGCCUGAACCAGCCAAGUCGCGUGAGGGAGGACGGCCCUACGGGUUGUAAACCUCUUUUGCCGGGGAGCAACGGGCGUCACGUGUGGCGCCACUGAGAGUACCCGGAGAAAAAGCAUCGGCUAACUCCGUGCCAGCAGCCGCGGUAAUACGGAGGAUGCGAGCGUUAUCCGGAUUUAUUGGGUUUAAAGGGUGCGUAGGCGGAUCGUUAAGUCAGUGGUCAAAUUGAGGGGCUCAACCCCUUCCCGCCAUUGAAACUGGCGAUCUUGAGUGGAAGAGAAGUAUGCGGAAUGCGUGGUGUAGCGGUGAAAUGCAUAGAUAUCACGCAGAACCCCGAUUGCGAAGGCAGCAUGCCGGCUUCCGACUGACGCUGAAGCACGAAAGCGUGGGGAUCGAACAGGAUUAGAUACCCUGGUAGUCCACGCGGUAAACGAUGAGCGCUAGGUGUCCGGGGGGAAUGGCCCCUG